AUGAACGCUGGCGGCGUGCAUAACACAUGCAAGUCGAACGGAGAAUAUACGCUUCAGAAGCUUCGGCAGAUGAUUGUAUAUUCUAGUGGCGGACGGGUGAGUAACGCGUGGGCAACCUGCCUCAUACUGGGGGAUAACAGCUGGAAACGACUGUUAAUACCGCAUAAGCGCACAGUGUCGCAUGACACAGUGUGAAAAACUCCGGUGGUAUGAGAUGGGCCCGCGUCAGAUUAGCCAGUUGGCGGGGUAACGGCCCACCAAAGCGACGAUCUGUAGCCGGCCUGAGAGGGCGGACGGCCACAUUGGGACUGAGACACGGCCCAAACUCCUACGGGAGGCAGCAGUGGGGGAUAUUGCACAAUGGAGGAAACUCUGAUGCAGCGACGCCCGCGUAAGUGAAGAAGUAUUUCGGUAUGUAAAGCUCUAUCAGCAGGGAAGAAAGGCUCGUAAGAGAGAUGACGGUACCUGACUAAGAAGCCCCGGCUAACUACGUGCCAGCCGCGGC
This 505-nucleotide ribosomal RNA is filed under the name uncultured bacterium. RNAcentral's name for it is "bacterial SSU rRNA". It matches the Rfam family "Bacterial small subunit ribosomal RNA", at positions 29 to 518 of the family's 1533-position model. The record is from RNAcentral.